UAGGGAAUCUUCCGCAAUGGACGCAAGUCUGACGGAGCAACGCCGCGUGAGUGAAGAAGGAUUUCGGUUCGUAAAACUCUGUUGUUAGAGAAGAACAGCGCAUAGAGUAACUGUUAUGCGUGUGACGGUAUCUAACCAGAAAGCCACGGCUAACUACGUGCCAGCAGCCGCGGUAAUACGUAGGUGGCAAGCGUUGUCCGGAUUUAUUGGGCGUAAAGCGAGCGCAGGCGGUCAAUUAAGUCUGAUGUGAAAGCCCCCGGCUCAACCGGGGUGGGUCAUUUGAAAUUGGUUGACUUGAGUGCAGAAGAGCAGAGUGGAAUUCCAUGUGUAGCGGUGAACUGCGUAGAUACAUGGAGGAACACCAGUGGCGAACGCGCCUCUCUGGUCUGUAACUGACGCAGAGGCUCGAAAGCGUGGGUAGCAAACUGG
RNAcentral lists this ribosomal RNA (429 nucleotides) under Bacteroidota bacterium. Its description in RNAcentral is "Bacteroidetes bacterium partial 16S ribosomal RNA". It matches the Rfam family "Bacterial small subunit ribosomal RNA", at positions 355 to 776 of the family's 1533-position model. The record is from RNAcentral. Lineage: Bacteria; Pseudomonadati; Bacteroidota.